AACUCAGUAAUACAUAUGUGGCCAAAAUGGCUGGAGGAGUAGAAGAUGACCCUAAUCUAAAGGGCUUGAGUCGUAUUUUUAACAGUCAAACCAAUAGGGGCCGAGCAAACGUAACCAAGGCUACAUAUUCCUUAUUAGCCGUGUACUAUGUGUAUUAUAAAUUAUUCAAAUCAUCACCGAAGAAAAAAGAUAAGAAGUAACAUGAUCUCUAAAGAAAAUUAAAAAUCGCGAGUAAGAUGAAAAAUUUAAGAGUAUGUCAUAAAAUAAUAUAAAAAAACUAUCGGGGACACGGAAUUUUGGAUGCAUACAAAAUGAAUUAAAAACAUUAGACACAAAGCAGGGUGUCAUGCAAAGUUAAGGAACUGGCGACCAUAAUAAUAUAAUGCGAUACCCUGCUCUUAUCUGCUGAUUGAAGGAUUGAAGUUAGUCUAAGCCGUAGAUAGAGUAUAGAACCAUACUAUAGUCCGUUUACGGUCUAAACCUUUGGCUAUUUGACAACACUGUAUUGUUUGUACAAGUAUACGUUGUCAUUUGUCAGUGUUAUAGUAAGUUAUAACUUUAAUAGCUGUCAGUUGUCACUAAUUUAUUUCACAGUAGGCGACUACUGUGUGAAUUGAGGUUUAAGGUUGUUAUUACAUAAGAAUAAAGAUUUAACAG
This is a long non-coding RNA of Pieris rapae (cabbage white), 657 nucleotides long. RefSeq lists it as uncharacterized. The record is from RefSeq and is a predicted model, not a curated record. NCBI's taxonomy places the organism in Eukaryota, Metazoa, Arthropoda, Insecta, Lepidoptera, Pieridae. The transcript has 3 exons.